GACGAACGCUGGCGGCGUGCUUAACACAUGCAAGUCGAACGGAAAGGCCCUGCUUUUGUGGGGUGCUCGAGUGGCGAACGGGUGAGUAACACGUGAGUAACCUGCACUUGACUGUGGGGUAACUUCAGGAGAAUGGGGCUCAUACCGGGGAGGAGCUCCUGAUGCAUGGUGGUGGUUGGAAAGUUUCGGCGGUUGGGGAUAGACUCGCGGGUUAUCAGCUUGUUGGGCGGGUAGUGGCGUACCACGUCUUUGACGGGUAGCCGGCAUGAGAGGGUGACCGGCCACAUUGGGACUGCGAUACGGCGCAGACGCCUACGGGAGGCAGAAGGGGGGAAUAUUGCAGAAUGGGCGGAAGCCUGAUGCAGCAAUGCCGCGUGCGGGAUGAUGGCUUUCGGGUUGUAAACCGAUUUCGCCGGUGACGAAGCGUGAGUGACGGUAAUGGGUAAAGAAGCAACGGCUAACUACGUG
RNAcentral lists this ribosomal RNA (468 nucleotides) under uncultured bacterium. Its description in RNAcentral is "partial 16S ribosomal RNA". It matches the Rfam family "Bacterial small subunit ribosomal RNA", at positions 28 to 507 of the family's 1533-position model. The record is from RNAcentral.